Molecule: long non-coding RNA, 1202 nt
Filed under: Panicum hallii
Lineage: Eukaryota; Viridiplantae; Streptophyta; Magnoliopsida; Poales; Poaceae
Description: long non-coding RNA (PHAL_LNC000829)
Source: RNAcentral
GCCGAGGAGAGGAAGCAGGCGCUGCGUCACCUCAAGGACGACAGCCUCAGCGUUCGUACUACCGGAAACGAGCACUUUGCCGAGUGCCAACUGCUUUGCCGAGUGCAAAAUAUCGGGCACUCGGCAAAGAGCCUCUUUGCCGAGUGCAACACUCGGCAAAGAGAAACACACGGUAAACUCAUGCUUUGCCGAGUGUCUGGCGCUCGGCAAAGAAAAACACUCGGCAAAGAAUGUUUUGCCGAGUGUCGAGCACUCGGCAAAGGGUGACACUCGGCAAACGAGCGCACGAAUAUUCAUGGCGUGACUCUUUGCCGAGUGCCUGGUCCGAGACACUCGGCAAAGAGGCCUUUUGCCGAGUGCCUAGACCAGACACUCGGCAAAAUAUACAAAUUUUUUUUCUUUAAUUUCUCUAAAAUUUUUUCUAUUGCCAUCCUACAUUCUCCUCAACAAGAUAUGUAAUUUAGGUUCUUUUAUCGAAGUGUUUGCUAUAUUUCGAUAAUUUAUUUCAUUGUAUUGUAUUUCUUGAAUAAUUCAAAUUUGAACUGCGUGGUCAUUCGAAUAGUGGAAAAAAUGAAUGAAAAAUUAUUAUUCAUGUUAAUGAGCAUGCUUUGAGGCCUUAUCAAAGAAAGAACCAGAAAUUUCAAACUUACUAUUCACGAAACAUGGCGAUUAAAUUGUGUUCAAGUCGUGUUUAAAUUGUAGAAAAGGCAAAUUUGGUCGAAAAAAUAUGAAACUUAUCGAGAUGUCAUGUUAUCAUGUGAGGACACUGUGAUAAAAUUUGUAUAAGAUUUCGUGAAAGUUUGAUAUUUACGAUGCUUAACACCUAAUCGAGUUUCAUAUAAAAUCUUACAUCUCUUUGUAGAACUUUCAAUUUAUAAGCAUCGUAUGUUGUAACUUUCACGAAACCUCGUCAGAUUUUUAUCAUAGCCUCCCCAUGUGAUAUCAUUACAUCUCGACAAGUUUCAUAAUUUUCGAUCCAUAUUUUCUUUUUAUACAUUUUAAAAACAACUGGACAUGAAGUUGGUCGUCAUGUUUCGUGGACAACAAGUUUGAAAUUUAUGAUUUUUUUCUCGAUAAGGUCUCAACGCAUCCUUCAAUAACGUGAAUAUUAUCUUUUCAUUCAUUGUUUUCCAUUAUUCGUGUGACUUGUAGUUUAAAUUUCAUGACUUGUAGUUCAAAUUUUAAUAAAUACAGCAUUUUUU